This 26148-nucleotide long non-coding RNA is filed under the name Marmota monax (woodchuck). The record is from RNAcentral. Lineage: Eukaryota; Metazoa; Chordata; Mammalia; Rodentia; Sciuridae.
GCUUUCUCUCUCCUUCUUGGUACCAGGUCCUGAGCUGCUUUCCUUUGCCAUACUGUCUGCCAUGAUGUUCUGCCUCACUGUGGUCCCUGAGCUAACGGAGUACGCUGUUUAUGGAUUGAGACCACUGAAACUGUGAGCGUCAAAUAAGUUUUUCCUUCUAUAAAAUUGUUCUUGUCAGAUUUUUAUUUUUGUUCACAGUGGUGAAAAAGCUAAAAUACAUAUUCAUUAUUCAAACAUUUUGAAAAUAUAAAAGGUAAAAAAAAUUAAGAAAGUGGAGAUGCUAUCUGGAUUUUACCAUUACAAAUUGUAUAUAUGUAUCAAAUUAUCAAACUGUACCCAUAAAUAUAUAUAAUUACAAUAAUAAUUAAUGAAUUAAAAAGUCUCUCUCUACACUAUUUUCCAUUCAUAGGUCUCCUCUGUUUUCUUCUCCCAAUUCACUAUUACUGAAUUCUUAAAGUAAUUUCAGACAAAUACAUAUAGAAAAUACUAAUAUAUAUUCUAUUUUUUCCUUUUACGUAUAAAAGGUACCACAUAAUAUAUAUUUUUCUACACCUUGUAUUUUUCAUUAAAAAUAUCUUGGAGAUUUUUCUAUAUCAAUACGGUACAUAGUACAUUCUCAUUCUCUUCCUAUGCAAAUUUUUUUAAGGCCACAUAAUAUUCUACUGCAUGAAUGAAUCACUAUUUAUUUAACUCAUUUCAUAUGAAUAAACAUUGGGUUGUUUCCACUCUUGCUAUUGCAAGUAAUGCUGCAAUGAAUAACCUUGUACCUAGGUCAGUUUUUAAUUUUUAAUUUUAUUUUUAACGGAUAAUAAUCACAUAUAUUUAUGGGUAUAAUGUGAUAUCACAAUACAUGUAUACAUUGUGGAAUUAUUUAAUCCAGCUGUUUACCAGGGCAUUGUAUGUGUCAAGUACAUUCAUUUGAUAUAUUAAUUUAAAAAGGGGUUGUGGGUCAAAGAUAGGUACACUUAUCAGAUUGACAGAUCUUGCCAAAUUGUCCUUGUUAAAGUUUUACCCAUUUAUAAAUUUAUAAGAUAAACUAUCAAACUUUUAAAUUUUGGAAAAUAUAAAUGACCACCUUCAUAUUCAUUGUCUAUUUUUCUUUUUGGUUUUGGGGUUUUUAAAUCUUACAUAUUUCUGGUAGUGCUUUGUAUAUAAAAGAUAUUAAUAUAUGUGAUAUGAGUUGGAAGUACUUUUCCCAGUUUGUCAUUUAUCUUCUGAUUUUUAUUAUGGUGAAGUUUCUUUUUUCUUUUUCUCUCUUUCUCCUUUUUUCCCCCACAUGAAAAAUUUUUGACUUUGAGUCACAAUUAUAAGAACGUUCCAGGUUAUUAAGAAAUUUUCUCAUAGUUUUCUUCUACUAAUUUUAGUUACUUAGUUUUUGUAUUUAAAGGUAUGAUGUCUUCGUAAUUUAGUAUACAGUAUAAAGCAUACAUCCAGUUUUAUUCCAGAUGGCUACCCAGUUACACCUGUACCAUGUCUUGAAUAGCCCUCUGUUAUACCUGGUAAUUUACAAUGUCACUCUUUUCAAAUCCUGUAUGCAUCUGGGUCUACAAUUUCAUCUGUUUUGUUAAUCUCUGUGGACAUUUAUGGGCCAGUUCUACAUUGUUUUAAUUACUGAGGCUUUUUUUUUUUGUACUGGGGAUGGAACCCAGGGAUGCUUUACCAUUAAGUCACAUCUCAGCCAUUUUUAUAUUUUAUUUUGAGACAGAGUCUUGCAAAGUUGCUGAGGGCCUCACUAAAUUGCUGAGUCUAGCCUCAAAUUUGUGAUCUUCCUACCUAAGCCUCUGGAGUUGCUGGAAUUAUAGGCAUGCCCCUCUUGAGACUUUUUAUUGUGUUUUAAUAUCUAAUAGGACUAAGAAUUCCACUUUCUCCCACACAGACAUAUAUAUUUCUCUCCUUUUCAGACAUUUCCUGGGUAUUCUUCCUCUGACCUCAAUAUAUAUUUGAGAAUUAUCAAGUUUAAAAGGAAAAUAAAUUGAUUUUUUUAAAAAAUUGGGAUCGAGGGCUGGGAUUGUGGCUCAGCGGUAGAGCACUCACCUAGCACAUGCGGGGCCCUGGGUUCGAUCCUCAGCACCACAUAAAAAUAAAUAAAACAAAGGUAUUGUGUCCGACUACAACAAAAAAAUAAAUAUUAAAAAAAUUGGGAUUGAGUAAAAAUAUUAAAUCAACUUAAAGAUGUGAUUUUUAAUAAUUUGAAAAUUUGAGACCUAGAUAUGUCUUUCUGCUCAUUCAAAAAUUAUUUGAAUUCUGGGGUGUUUGUUUUAAAGUUUUCUUUUCUUUCUUUCUUUUUUUUUUUUUAAUAAAUGUCCUACCUCUUAAGUUUAGGUGGACACAAUAUCUUUAUUUUACAUUUAUGUGGUGCUGAGGAUUGAACCCAGUGCCUCAUGUAUGCUAGGCCAGCAUUCUACCACUGAGCCACAACUCCAGCCCCAGUUUUAAAGUUUUCUACAUAUAGUGCUGAUACAUAUUUUGUUCAAUUUAUUUCUAAGUAUUUUCCUUUUUUUUUCUUGCUACAUUAGAUAAAGUCCUUCAUCUUUUUAUCUUCCAGGAGGUUAUUGUUUGUAUAUAUGAGAUUUAUCAGUUUCUCUAUAUUAAUUUUGUAUCUUUUUACUUUACUGAAUUGUCUUAUUAUGUUAAUUUUCCAGUUGAGUCUUGGGUUGAAAAAACAUAGUCAUAUCAUCUGUAAGUAACAGAAGUAUUUUUCUUCCUUUCCCACUUUAUACUUGAAGUCUUUUUCUUCUCUUCCUCCUCUUCCUCCUUGUCCCUCCUCCUACUCUUCCUUCUUCUUCUCCUUCACAUUGAACCCAUGGAUUUGUGCAUGCUAAGUGUGGCUCUACCACUGAGCUCCACCCCCAGUUCCAUUGAAGUUUUUAUCUUGUCUUGUUAUGAUUUCUAGGACAUUCAGUAAAAUUUUACUAAUAAUAGUGACAGUGAGCACUCUUGUCUUAUUUCCAACUUCAGUCUGUAGCAUUUCUCCAUCAAGUAGAACUCUGGCUAAGUGUGUUUUAUCAUGUUAAAGAAGUAUUCAUCUGUUCCUGUUUUACUGAGUGCUUUCUAUCAGGUCGUUGAAAUUAUGAACAUUUUAAAUAAAUACCCUCAACAAUAUUCUGUUAUUUUGACCUUUCUGUCCUCUGGUCCUUCAAUCCCUUGUUCAUGUCUCCAACAGCUGGUCCUAACCAGAAACCAGAGGGAAAGGGAGUUCCUAAUAGUCAGCUUCCUAGAGCCCAUGGUAGGACAGGGAAGGGUAAAGGAGUAGAUCUGGAGGCACAGACAGAAUGUAUCCAGUAUAGAUGCCAGUAACAGAAAACAAGACAACCUCUCUUCAUUAAUUGAAAACAAAAAGAUUGUUAUGGGUGGCAAAAGUAAUCUUCUUGAAGUUAAUGGCAUUACUUUUGUUUAUUGGGGGAAAAAAUGAAAGAAAAUUAUAUGAUCUUGAACAUUUUUGCAUAGCUAGUAUCAGCAUUUUUCUGAUCUGAUGUUAGCAGGCCUAAAUUGCAUUUCCUGAGCCUGAACUCCCUUUUAGGAUUGACCUUCUUGACCCCUCUAUUUAUUACCUUAUUUUAAAAACAUUUUCACUCUUUCCUCAGACCUAAAAAUUAUGUUUUAGUGGGAUGGAUAUCACAUGGCUCAAUUUUCAGCCCAGGAACCAGACACUAUAUCUUCUGGGAAGGAUCCAGCAAAACACACCCACUUCCCUGGCACCUUGGCCAGUCUCCAAGAGUGAUCCUUUCAGUCCUGCCUCAGAUGCCCCCUUGCAUCAACACACCUGGUUUUGGGGGUAGUGAUUUCACCACUUGAUGCUUUCCCUGAUAGGCUCAUUCUUUUUCUGCCAGAUGUUUGGAAACUGUUCCAGACUCCAUAGCAAUCCUGGCUCUUUAUUCGUAGAUUACAUUUUUGGGAGAUAUCAUGGAUUACAGAGAGGCUGGCAGACAAAAUACAGAACCCUCAGUUACAUUUUAAUUUCAGAUAAACAACAAUAUGGUGUUUCCAUGUGCCAUAUAAGUCAAAUAAGAUAAACAAAUGGUUGUUUAUCUGAAACUUGAAGUUGACUGGUCCUCCUGUAUUUUUCUUUGCUAAAUUUGUCAACCCCUGUCAUAAAGUGCUUCCCAAAAUAAUCCUCUACUAUGCUCCCUGCAGCUACCUCCCUUUCCCCCAACUCCAAAAUUUCUCCCCCAGAAUUAGUUUCAGAAAAGUUUUAAGACAGCCCAGGAGGGGUGUUAAUUCUACUGGUCACAGCUGAGAUUCACUUCCAACUGAAUUUUAAUUUUAACCCCCAUUUGCAGAGAUUAAUUAAUCAGAUCAGUAAAUUUGUUACUUUAGCACUAAGGACAUUUCAAUGGUGGCUGAAAACAAGGGUGAAUUAUUGAAAAAAUUAAAUGUUGUAAGGUAUGUGUAAGGGUGGGGUGGAGGUGGGGAGUUCAGGGUAGCUUAAAGGAAUGCAUGCAGGAAAAAGAAUACUGAAAAAAAUAUUAACAUUUCUGACAGUUUUGCCUGGCUGGAGUCUUGGUAUUCUUUGGUGUAGUGCAUGACUUGGAGCCUGGAUCCCACAGUACAGAAAGCAGAAGAGGCUGUGGAGGGAACAACUGCUAAGCAACCAAGUACUGGAGGCAAAGUAGCCCAGGAGGAGAAGUAAAACCAAGAAAUUUUUAAAAAUUAGGUGCUUGACGUUUAAGGAAAAAAGUCCAGAGUUAGUCAAGGAUGAUUGCUUAUUGCAGGAUUAAUAUGACAAAACUUCUGAAAAAGGAAGUAAGGGUAGCACGUGGUACCCUGCUGAUAUGUUUCCUUCCCAAGUACUUCUCCAUUCCUAGCUUUUAUGCCGCCAUACAUAGCAGGGACAGCAACAACGCUCUCCCUAAAGGCUUUAUCUCCAUGAAAUGAAUACACCAGACCACAGCCUUAUUUUCUGAGAUUGACUCUAUGUAACUAGCUCUCCCAAAUUCUGUGGCCUGAGAGGCUGAGAGUUUGGUCUGUCUUAAGUCAGAUCCAAUACAAUGUUUCCACGUGCCAUAUAAGUCUAUGCCUUAAGACUAUUUAGGGGAACCAGCUUAGCAAAACCAUUUUAAUGGUCAUUUUCCUAUCCAGAAUUUUUGUACCAAGCAGCUUGGGGACUUCAGUGCAAGGGUCUGCUGAAACCUGACCUGUUCAGAGAGGCAAAAGAGUUUUUAGCUGCCAGUCCAACAGGGUGGUUAACUUGUUUUGGUUUAUCAGGAACUUUCCUAGUUUGAACACUGAAAUUCCCACACCCCAGAAAACCCCCCAGUCCCAGGCAAACUAGGAUGGCCAGUCACCCUAAAAUCAAAGUACCUAGGCUUUGGCACCUGAAUAUCAGUUUUCUAAUCUAUAAAAUAAGAUUGGCUGUAUCCAUUUGGGAUUGGCUGACAUAGUUUCUAAGGUAACUAUCAUAUCUGUGAGUCUGUGAUUUGUUCUCAUGCUCCUGACCUUGCCCAUCUACAGCCUAUCUCCUGGAGAAAAUUCAUUUGCUCCAAGUCCUGAGUCCACAUAACCUGAUAAACUUAAUGGGAGAGAGGUUGAUAGGGUUUACAGCUGCAUUUCAACAAUGGCUCAGGGAGGAAGGAUGUGGCCAUAGCCAAGUGGCUCUCCUGGUGAGAAGUUCUGCUGGGGAUGGGGUAUGUGGCUCUGUGCCACCCCAGGAGGAAGAUAGUCUUAGGCAGGCAGGUUUGGGGGCAGCCAGACCAGGAAAUUUGGUUUGGUUUGAUGGGCUGGUUUCAGCAGCAGGGAAGGAAAAGGCCAUAGGCAGGGCGGUCUUGUCUAACUUGAGCCAGCUUUCACACUCUGACCUGAAUAAAGUCAGCAGUUGAAACCAGAGACUGCAGAAGAAAGGAAGUAGUCUAUUGAUAGCACUCUUUUUUUUUUUUUUUAAUGCAUUUGCUCCUAGCCUGUGUCUGUCAUCUAAAAAUACAAAUAAGCAGCUAUCAUUCUGGAGAAGUUGAGAGUUCAACCCUGGAAUCAACGCCUACUAACUUUAUGACAGUGGGCAAGUAGUUGGUUAAAUCAUAUGAAUUUACUGAUAUUUGACCUUUUCAAUCUACAAAAAUAGCAAUUCUACAUGGUUCAGCCUGAUAACCAGCUUUCUUCUCUUGGUUUCCUCCUGUAUGAAAUGUAGAUAGAUACCAAUCUUAGGAGGACUAAGUGAGAGAAGAUAUAGAAGGUGGUCAGACAGUCCCUGGCACACAGUCCCUGCUCACUCAUUGGCUAUAUGGACACCACCAUCGUUACUAGUUAAGAAGCAUGCAGGAUCUUUAGACUUCAUCAACUGAACCUAGGAGGGCCUAACUCUACUAGGACAGAAGACAUGGACAAACCAACAAAAUCUGGUUACCUUAAUAAACUGUGGAACUUCUUAAUCCCAGGUGAAGAAAGAAUAUGUUCAUACCAUAGGUUUUUCAGGUGGUUUGAAGAACUGAAAUUUCAUCCCUUUUCCCAGUCCAAACAAUCAGUUGCAAAGCACAGAAAGGUCUUUUAUCCUUCGAUCUGGCUCUACUGUUGGGCCCCAUCUUCAGUAUUAACAUCUGUUUAUAGCAACCGCAUCUUAUUCAACUUAACUGUAUGCACAUACAAUGUGUAAGCAUUGUGAAGCUCACACAAAUAUGACAGGCUUGUCAUUAUCAGAGUACAACAAAAGUUACAAUGGAUUUCUCUCAAUAACUAACAGGAAGCAAUAAAAAGAGUGGAAACAAAAGAUUUGCUGUAGUAUUUUCAUCUAAGCAAAUACAAUUUAUUAACUUAAGCAAAGGCUCUUGGGCUUUUUAUAGCUCAAGGAUUCUAGGAAAUAACUCUCUUACAUAUAAUGAGGAAGUGCAUCUUUAGGUCUCUAUAUUUUUGUUCCCUAUAACAUUCCUAUGUUUAAUCUUUUCCAGUUUAUACCCUUGAUGAUAAAAUAAUCUGUUCAACAGGGGACACUAUAGUCCUUAAGUCAAAUGAUGGCUAGGGGGAUUCUGCUGACUCCAAGGCCAGUUCUUCCCACUGUGUGGAUCCCAGAUGUCAGAAAUUUAAAAGAGAAAAGAGCUUUGAACUUGGCUUGGCUUAAACUCUCCCUCUCAAGCUAACCUCUUUCAAAUGUGAGAAAGUUCAGUUCUCAACUUGCAUUAACAAAAGGUGUUUACAACAGAAUGCCUGGCUGUUCCUAAUAAUGGCUUUGCUUUUUGAAUUAAUUCCUCACUGAUGACAAAGACUGAGCUUUUGAACUUCUGGGUAUGGCUAGGCAGGGCAUUUUUACUUGGCUUGGCUCUUUACAUGGUAGAAAAGGCUUGGUUGGGCACCUGGCAUUUGUGGCCAAUAAUUAUAUUACAAUUGUUACUGUGCAUUACCGAAACUUCAGUUUUGACUAAAAGCCAACUGUACUCUUUAAAACAAACAUCUUUUGAAAGCCUAGUGUGCUUUUAAAUGAUCUUAAAAAUCCAUUUUAUAAGGUUUGGUACAAACUAGAUUUUUUUAAAGUCGGUUUUUGUUGUUGUUUUUAAACAAGGUUUUGCUUUAAGGAAGUAUCUCUUUGCCUAUAAAUUGGUGUAAGUUCCUUCAGCUUUAAUAAGCAGUGUGACCUCUCAUCUGAGACAUAAUGCCUCCUUGUCUCUUGUCCCUUCAUCAGUGUGGAUGUCUUUCCACACCAACAUGUUUGCUUACCCCAUUGACUUAUUCCAGAGCAUGUGCUCACAACUGAGGCAGGGGAGGUGAUAAACAGCUAAAUAGCCAGAGAAACAAAUCAUUGUUUUCACAUUUAGGAUUAAUUAGGGCUUGUAUGUAGCUCAGUGGUAGAGCACUUUGUCUAUCAUGUGCAUAGUGGCCCUGGGUUCAAUUCCUAUCACUGCAAAAAAAAAAAAAAAAAAGGAGAGAGAAAGAAGAGUCAGUUGUCCAUGGACAGACUUUCAUGGUUGUAAGUUUUCAGGUCCCAAUUCUUAACUGAAAACUUGAUCACCAAGGUAGUAGGAUCAAGCCAUGAAGGAUGGAGCCAUAGGGGUUUAGGUUUGUGCACGGAGCUGGGAUUUAAAGACGCAUCCAGCAGGAGAAGCCUAAUCUGUUAGUUUCCAAAUGGAAUAACUCUCAUCAGUGCUUCUCUUCACUGUUAGAUUCAGAACAAUGACACAGAUAUUUGCUUCACAAGGAGGACCUGGAGAAGUUACAUGUGAUACACAUGUGACUGAGAAAUGGUUUUUUCCUGGUAUUCCCCUGCCCCUCCUCCUUGCCUCCAUGCCUUGGACAGCAGGCCAUUGUUGCAUUGCCUCAAGGUGGGGGAAUGAUAUAUUAGGAUAAAAAGCAAAACAAGAACAACAUAACUUUUGUGAGUUGUAUGUUAUGUUAAAAAACCUCUCUGAGGUCUAGACAGGAUUUGAAGUACAGCCACAGUAUUCUGGAGGAAAAAGGUGUGAGGAGAGUAGGGCUUUCCUGGAAGAUUAGAAACACUUCCCUCUGCUAAUGGGAGGAAAGAUGGAUGAACAGCCAGAGGAUAAAAAAAGCAUGAGUAGGUCCUUCCCUACUACCUCACUUUAAGAGGAGGUAGCAAGCCUAGGGAGAAAAAUGGCUGUGUGCUGAUGGCCUACGGAAUUUCCCAACACCUGGAGUGGGCCCCAAGGUAGCAGGGAGCUGUUGAACAUUACUGUGAACUGAAAGGAGGCACAGACUUAACACUGUCAGUAAAGAAGGACUAGAAAAAAACCAUAGACAUCUUGGUUGGUGCCUCCUCCAAAACCAGACUUAAAAAACAAAUAGAUCUCCUAGUACCUUGGCACUACCUAACCACACUAACCACCCUUUCCACUCCCACCCUAGACAUAGAUACCUUCGUAAAGGUAGACAAAUACUGAAAUGAUGGAAGUCAUGAAUGACACCUCCCAAUAUAGAGUGCAGACUUGAAACAUACAUUAGGUUGAUUGACAAAGGAAUAAGUAAAUCUUUCUUGCAUACUUGAGUUUGUACACUGAAAUCUUUGCAUCUGGUUUGAACUUCUGGGGAUGGCCUCAUGGUGCAGUGGAAAGAUUAUUAAUUGAGAAUGAUAGAAGCAAAUUUCUGUCACUUAGAGGGUGACUUUGGACAAGUCAUGAAACUACCCUGAGUCUCAAGAUCCUCACCCAUAAAAUGUGGAUAAUAAAACCUCUCCUGACAAUUCAGUUGUGUAGUGAGGAAAGGGAUGUCACAGAGUACUGUUUGAGGCAGCAAGGCAGCCUACAUAAUAGUACCAAAUGCCAAACAUAAUUAGAAAAAAAUACUAGUUAAUUCCAACCUGUAGGAACUUGUAGCAAAGGCUGACCAGAUAUUUUUCAGUUUCAUUUACUCUUCCUGGCAUACAAAAAGGACAUUUUCCAGCCUUUGUUGCAAAGUUAGGAUAGAGCCAUAUUAUUGGAUUCUGGCUGACAGGAUAUAGCAGAAGUAAUAAUGGGUGGUGCUUGCAGACUUAGCCACAGAUCCUGCUGUGUGGUCUUAUAUAUACUCUAUUCUUCCCCUGUGCCAGUGUUGAAGAUGUUGGCCUUUUAAGAUCAAUGGGGCUUGAAUUCCCAGGUCACCAUUUGGAGGUAUCACCCGGGAAAGCUCCCAGUUUACACUAGAUCGUGAUGCAUGAGAAACUUUCAUCAUGUCAAGUCAAUAAUAUUUUGGGGGCUUUGUGUUGAUGUAACCUAUCUACCCUAUCCUAACACCAUACUAUAGUAAAUAAUAAUUAUAGAACAUAUUGCUGUAAUAGAAGUUAUACGUAUUAUGUAUGUAUGCAUAUACAUAUAGAUGAGAUGUCUCAAAGCAUGAAGGAGUGGCUCAGUCAAUAUCUUUCCUUCCAUAUUACAAAGAACAUAAAAGUUCUCCUCUUGGGCAAAGAUGUCAUAAGCACAAGUCACGAUGACAUUCAAGUCUGUCUGACUUGCACAGCGGAAGCACAUUCACCUAGAAAGCUGGAGGAAUCUCUCACUUGGAGUUGAUACCUGUAUGGGUACUCUGCACUGAUGAAGAUGAUACUCUGAGAUGAUACUCUGAGAUGAACGUAUCAUCUCAGCUGCUGAGCCCUUUUCUUGCCUGAUCUAGUUGGCCACUUGUACUAGUCCCUCUUCAUCUCAAACUCUCUGUGGGCCCUGGCAUUCUAACAUCAGGGGAUGCUCUGGACCUAGGUAAUGAGGAAAGUCUGUUCUGUAGGGAGCACACAGCUGUUACAAAACAUCUCAAAGCAGUAGGUUUUGCCUGUUUGCUUAUUGCUACACACAUUCCCCAAAUGGUUUCAGCAUACAUACACAUUUGCUACUCAAACCACCAGAGCAGUUGGAACCAUUGACUGUACCCAGAGACUGAAACCUCACUGCAACCCUGGAAGCUGCUCAUGCAGGCAGUAGUGGUAUUUUCCCCAGAAACUACACUCUCUUUGUUCAGAGCUGGCUAGAGACACAGUUAUCUUUGAGGCCUGGGGCUUCAAAUUACCUUUGCUACAAGCCUGGUCAUCACCUCUCCCUGGAUAAGGCUUUAUUCUAACACAGCCAGUGGGUAGGAUCCCUAGGGAGAACCAGGCAUUUCAUUUCUCCAUUAACAAAGACUCCCCCUCUUUGGGACCAGUUAGCUGGCUUUUGACCCGUGGCAGAGAAUCUUGCCCAGUGGUCAUGCAGACUUGGGCCACUGGUCACAGAGGAUGAAUGAAGAGCCACGAAUACAACAGGAAAUCUGACAUCAUAACUGAAUGAAAUCUCAAAACUCCCAUCCUGCUGAACUCUGGUAAGUGCUGUUGUUACAUAACCUUCAGAUAAAUGUCACUACUCUUCAGGAAAAGAAGGCAUUAGUACACUUUCUAUAAGUAUUUUCAUUAUUGUGAUGAAAAUUGGUAACCUUAAGUACAAAGAUACUUUAGCUGUAUUUAGUUGUUUGACAGUGCUGGGGCCUCAUGCAUGCUAGGCAAGCACUCUUCCACUGGACUGCAUCCCCAGCCCUACUUUAGCUCUUUUUAACUGUUGCUUUCUAACAUAAAGUUGGUUUUUUUAAAUCAUGAAAUUAUUUUGUGCCGAUUAUAGUAAAUUUUAAAGUACAAAAAGGUAUGUACAGUUUUUGCAUAACACUAAUCAGCUUUUGCCUUGUGAUGUAGUUAACCAUGUAUGUCUUUCUCCCCUUCAUAUGUUCUUGAUGGAAGAAAUGAUAGCAAUAUCUUUAGUUUUGUAUAGCUCAUAACACCCACCACAAACAUUAAAUGUUUGUGAAUGAAUGUCAUGACCUUCCAUCCUCCAGGUCUGUUCAACAGAAAUAACCACUAAUUCCAGCUUCUUGUAUAUAUCUCUAUGGAUAUAUAUAUAUAUAUAUAUAUAUAUAUAUAUAUAUAUAACAAAUAUGUUGUAGAUAACAAACAACUGUGUAUGCAAGUGCAUAUGUGAUCCAUUUCUUUCUAAAAAUAUUAAUAUAGCAUGCCAUAUAUAUUAGUUUGCAAUAGUUUUUUCAAAUACUUUUUUUUUCUUGCAGAUGGACACAAUAUCUUUAUUUUAUUAUUUUUAUGUGGUGCUUAGAAUCAAAUCCAGUACCUCACGCCUGCAAGGCAAGCAUUCUACCACUGAACUACAACACCAGACGGCAAUAGUUCCCCCUGCACCCCUCACUCUGGGGCGCCAGGGAUCUAACCCAGAACCUUAUGCAUGCUAGGCAAGCAAGUCCUUUAUCACUAAGCUACACACCUCCAGCCCUAUUUUGCUAUCUGAAAACACACACACACACACACAAUUUUACAAUUUUUUUUUUCUUUUUGCAGUUCUGGGGAUCAAACCAAGGCCUCUAUAUCCUAGGCACUUUACCACUAAGCUAAAUUUCCAGCUCCUGAAAUCUGCUUUUUUCACUUAGGAAUAUAUCUUGAUGAUAUACAUUAAUACAUAUAGAUAUGAUUGCUCUUUUUUUGUGUGUCUCACCCCAUUGCAGUGCUACAGUAUAAAUCAUUUAACUAGUCUCUAUAAACAGUGUGUGUGUGUGUGUGUGUGUGUGUAAAGACUCCUCUGGGCUGUGCCAGCAUGGGACUCCUCUCCAACAUCCUUCCCUAGAAUUCAUCCUCUUCUAAAUCAGAGAUCCAGAUCACAGGUGGUGGACUGCUGUCUGAGUGAGAACUUCCAAGACCAAGGACCCUGGCUGACAAGUUCGUAUGCUUGAUUCUUAAGAAGGAACUGAGAGGGCUGGGGUUGUAGCUCUGUGGUAGAGUGUUUGCCUCGCAUGUGGAAGGCACUGGGUUUGAUCCUCAGCAGCACAUAAAAAUAAAAAAUAAAGGUAUUGUGUCCAUCUACAACUAAUAAAAUAUAUGUAUAUAAAAAGAAGGAACUGAGAGUCUUCUGCAACAAUUGACAUUCUGGAUAGCCAAACAGAUGGGCUUAUGUCUUUUCUCUGCUCCUAGUAGAUUCACAGUUUGUUUUUUAUUUUUAUUUUUUUAGUUGUAGAUGUAAACAAUACCUUUAUUUUAUUUCUUUAUUUUUUAUAUGGUACCAGAGGGCAGGGUGAUUGAACCCAGUGCCUCACACAUGCUAGGCAAGCGCUCUACCACUAAGCCACAACCCUAGCCCACAGAUUCACAGUUUUAACCCAUUCUGCAUACUUAAAAUAUUUUUUCUUCCUUUCCAUUUUUUUUUGCAGUGGUAGGGAUGGAACCCAGACCUCAUUCAUACUAGACAAGUGCUCUACCACUGAGCCUCACCCCAGCCAAGUCCCCAGCCUUUAAAAUUGUUUUUUAACUUCAAGUUUGGGAGAUUGAAUUAAUUAUACUCCUUAUUCCAAAGUACCUCCUCCUCUUUAGUCUCUUCAAGGUCCCUCUCUUAUUUUAUCUAUCUAUCUAUCUAUCUAUCUAUCUAUCUAUCUAUCUAUCUAGUAUUUGUCCCUCCUUCCAAACUAUUUCCUCUUACCAAAGCAACCAUUCUUCUCUAUUUAAUUGAAUGUGUUUCUUUUUUUUGGCAGGGGGUGAGUACUGGGUUUUGAAUCCAGGGGUGCUCUACUAAUGAACAAUAUCCAUAACCCCCCCUUUUUAUAACCUGUACACAUAUUUUUAAAAAUUACUUGAAUCUAAUAGUAAUUGGUCAUAAAAUAUGUAAUUAUCAUUUUUUAAAUUUUGAAUUUAUUCUAAUUUGUUAUACACGAGAGCAGAAUGCAUUUCAAUUCAUAGUACACAUAUAGAGCACAAUUUUUCAUGUCUCUGGUUGUACACAAAGUAGAGUCACACCAUCUCAUUCCACCAUCUUUCCAACCCCCUUGCCCCUCACUUCCCCUCCCUCCCCUUUGCCCAAUCAAAGUUCCUUCAUUCUUCCCAUGCUUCUCCCCACCCCAUUCCCAUUAUGGAUCAGCAUCCACAUAUCAGAGAAAACAUUUAGCCUUUGGGUUUGGGGGAUUGGCUUACUUCACCUAGCAUGAUAUUCUCCAACUCCAUCCAUUUACCUGAAAAUGCCAUGAUUUUAUUCUCUUUUAAUGCUGAGUAAUAUUCCAUUGUGUAUCUACACCACAGUUUCUUUAUCAAUUCAUCAGUUGAAGGGCAUCUAUAUUGGUUCCACUAUUUAGCUAUUGUGAAUUGUGCUGCUAUAAACACUGAUGUGUCUGCAUCACUGUAGUAUGCUGUUUUUAAGUCCUUUGGUAUAAACUGAGGAAUGGGAUAGCUGGGUCAAAUGGUGGUUCCUCCAGGUUUUCCAAGGAAUCUUCAUACUGCUUUCCAGAUUGGUUGCACCAAUUUGCAGUCCUACCAGCAAUGUAUGAAUGUGUCUUUUCCCCCACAUCCUCACCAACACUUAUUGUUGUUUGUAUCCUUAAUAGCUACCAUUCUUACUGCAGUAAGAUGAAAUCUUACAGUAAUUUUGAUUUGCAUUUCUCUAAUUGCUAGAGAUGUUGAACAUUUUUUCAUACAUUUGUCUAUUGAUUGUAUAUCGUGUCUGUUCAGUUCCUUGGCCCAUUUGUUGAUUGGGUCAUUUGCUUUCUUUCUUUCUUUCUUUUUUUUUGUGUUUUUUUUGGUUUUUUGAGAUUUUUAUGUAUACUAGACAUUAGUGCUCCAUCUGAUGUGCAUAUGGUAAAAACUUGCCCCCAUUCUGUAGGCUCUCUCUUCACCUCACUGAUUGUUUCUUUUGCUGAGAAGAAGCUUUUUAGUUUGAAUCCAUCCCAUUUAUUGAUUCUUGAUUUUAUUUCUUGCACUAUAGGAGUCUUAUUAAGGAAGUCAGGGCUUAAUCUGACAUGAUAAAGAUUUGGGCCUACUUUUUCUUCUAUUAGGCACAGGGUUUCUGGCUUAAUUCCUAGGUCCUUUAUCCACUUUGAGUUGAGUUUUGUGCUGGUGACAGAUAGGGGUUUAAUUUCAUUUUGUUGCAUAUGGAUUUCCAGUUUUCCCAGCACCAUUUGUUGAAGAGAUUAUCUUUUCUCCAAUAUAUGUUUUUGAUGCCUUUGUCUAGUAUGAGAUAACUGUUUUUAUGUGGGUUUGUCUCUGUGUCCUCUAUUCUGUACCAUUGGUCUACAAGUCUGUUUUGGUGCCAGUACCAUGCUGUUUUUGUUACUAUUGCUCUGUAGUAGAGUUUGAGGUCUGAUAUAGUGAUGCCACCUACUUCACUCUUCUUGCCAAGGAUUGCUUUGGUAUUUUGGGUCUCUUAUUUUUCCAGAUGAAUUUCAUGAUUGCUUUUUCUAUUUCUCUGAGGAAUGUCAUUGGGAUUUUUAUUGGAAUUGUAUUAAAUCUGUUUAGUGCUUUUGGUAGUAUGGUCAUUUUGACAGUGUUAAUUCUGUCUAUCCAAGAACAAGGGAGAUCUUUCUGUCUUCUAAGGUCUUCUUUAUUUUUUUUUUCUUUAGUGUUCUGUAAUUUUCAUUGUAGAGGUCUUUUUCACCUCUUUGAAUCCCAAGUAUUUUAUUUUAUUUUGAGGCUAUUGUAAUUGGGGUAGUUUUCCUAGUUUCUCUUUCAGAGGAUUUGUUACUGAUAUACAGAAAUGCCUUUGAUUUAUGGGUGUUGAUUUUGUAUCCUACUACUUUGCUGAAUUAAUGUAUUAGAAGUUUUCUGGUGAGAUUUUUUUUGGAUCCUCUAGGUAUAGAAUCAUGGCUUCAGCAAAUAGUGAUAAUUUGAGUUCUUCUUUUCCUAUCCAUAUCCCUUUAAUUUCUUUCAUCUGUCUAAUUGUUCUGGCUAGAGUUUCAAGAACUAUAUUUAAUAGAAGUAGUGAAAGAAGGCAUUCCUGUCUUGUUCCAGUUUUUAGAGGAAAUUCUUUCCAUUUUUCUCCAUUUAGAAUGAUGUUGGCUUUGGGCUUAGCAUAGAAAACUUACAAUGUUGAGAUAUGUUCCUGUUAUCCCGAGUUUUUAUAGUGUUUUGAACAUGAAGAGGUGCUGUAUUUUGUCAAAUGCCUUUUCUGCACCAAUUGAGAUGAUCAUAUGAUUUUUAUCUUUAAGUCUAUUGAUGUGAUGAAUUACAUUUAUUGAAAUCUGUAUGUUGAACCAACCUUACAUCCCUGGAAUGAACCCCACUUGAUUGUGGUGGACUAUGUUUUUGAUAUGUUUUUGUAUUUGAUUUGUCAGAAUUUUAUUGAGAAUUUUUGCAUCUAUGUUCAUUUGAGAUAUUGGUCUAAAGUUUUCUUUCUUUGAUGUGUCUGUGCCUGGUUUUGGAAUCACAGUGAUAUCGCCUCAUAGAAUGAGUUUGGAAGUGUUUCCUCUUUUUCUAUUUCAUGAAAUAAUUUGAGGAGUAUUGGUAUUAGUUCUUCUUUGAAGGUCUUGUAGAGCUGUGUAUUCAUCUGGUCCUGGGCUUUUUCUUGGUUGGUAGGCUUCUGAUGGAGUCUUCUAUUUCAUUGCUUGAAAUUGAUCUGUUUAACUUGUGUAUAUAAUUCUGAUUCAGUUUGGGCAAAUCAUAGGACUCUAGAAAUUUGUCAAUGCCUUUGAUAUUUUCUAUUUAUUGGAUACAAAUUUUCAAAAUAAUUUCUAAUUAUCUUCUGUAUUUCUGUAGUGUCCAUUGUGAUAUUUCCUUUUUUAUCACAGAUGUUAGUAAUUUGAGUUUUCUUUCUCUUUCUCUUUAUGAGCAUGGGUAAGGAUUUAUCAAUUUUAUUUAUUUGUUCAAAGACCAAUUUUUGGUUUUUAUCAUUUUUUUCAAUUGUUUCUUUUGUUUCAAUUUCAUUGAUUUCAGCUCUAAUUUUAAUAAUUUCCUGUCUUCUACUGCUUUUGGUGUUGAUUUUUUCUUAUUUUUCUAGGGCUUUGAGAUGUAAUGUUAGGUCAUUUAUUUGUUGACUUUGUCUUCCUUUAAGGAAUGAACUCCAUUCAAUGAACUUUCCUUUUAGUACUGCCUUCAUGUGUCCCAGAUAUUUUUGAUAUGUUGUAUCAGUGUUAUCAUUUACCUCUAAGAAUUUUCUAAUCUCCUCUUUGAUGUCUUCUGCAACUCAUUGUUCAUUCAAUAGCAUAUUAUUUAGUCUCCAGGUGUUGGAGUAGCUUCUAUUUUUUAUUUUAUCAUUGAUUUCUAAUUUCAUUCCAUUAUGACCUUUUAGAUUACAGGGUAGUAUCUCUACUUUUUUGUAUUUGCCAAGAGUUGCUUUGCGGCAUAAUAUAUGGUCUAUUUUAGAUAAGGACCAUGUGCUGAUGAAAAUAAAGUGUUUUCACUCAUUGAUAGAUGAAUAUUUUAUAUAUCUCUGUUGAGUUUAAGUUAUUGAUUGUAUUAUUGAGUUCUAUAGUUUCUCUGUUUACCUUCUGUUUGGAAGAUCUAUCAAGUGGUGAGAGAAGUGUGUUAAAGUCACUGAAAAUUAUUGUGUUGUGGUCUAUUUGCUCUUGAACUUGAGAAAGAGUUUGUUUGAUGAACGUGGAUGCUUUGUUUGGGGCAUACAUAUUUAUAAUUUUUAUGUCUUGUUGAUGUAUGGGUUCCCUUAAGCAGUAUGAAAUGUCCUUCUUUAUCUUUUUUGAUUAACUUUGGCUUGAAGUCUACUUUAUUUGAUAUGAGGAUGGAAACCCCUGCUUAUUUCCACAGUCCAUGAGAGUGGUAUGUUUUUUCCCAACCUUCCACCUUUAGUCUGUGGGUGUCUUUUCCUAUGAAACGAGUCUGUGGGAGGCAGCAUAUUGUUGGUUCUUUUUUUUUAUUAUUAUUUAUUUAUCUAAUCUUCCAGUCUAUGUCUUUUGAUGGUAAGUUUAGGCCAUUAACAUUUAGGGUUAUUAUUGAGACAUGAUUUGUAUUCCCAGUCAUUCUUGUUUAUUUUUGUUAUUUAACUUGACUACAUUUUUCCUUUGAAUGUUUUUUCCUUUAGUGUAAUACCUCUCUUUGCUGAUUUUCAUUGUUGUUUUUCAUUUCCUCCUAGUGGAAUAUUUUUCCAAGGAUGUUCUGUAGUGCAGGCUUUCUAGUUUUAAAUUCUUUUAACUUUUGUUUACCGUGGAAGGUUUUUAUUUCAUCAUCAAAUCUAAAUAUUAAUUUUGGUAGAGAAAAUUCUUGGUUGGCAUCAGUUUUCUUUUAGUGCUUGGUAUAUGUUGUUUCAAGAUCUUCUAGCUUUCAGGGUCUGGUUUGAAAAAUCUGUAGCGGUCCUAAUUGUUUUCCCCCUAUGUAUAAUCUGAUUCCUUUCUCUUGUGGCUUUUCAAAUUCUCUGCUUAUUCUAUGUGCUAGGCAUUUUCAUUAUAAUAUGCCUUGGUGUAGAUCUGUUGUGAUUUUAUAUAUUUGGUGUCCUGUAAGCCUCAUAUAUUUGAUUUUCCAAUUCAUUGUUCAGUUUGGGAAAUUUUCUGAUAUUAUCUCAUUGAAUAGAUUGUUCAUUCCUUUGGUUUGUAACUCUAUGUCUCCCUCUAUCCCAAUAAUUCUUAAAUUUGGUCUUUUUAUGUUAUUCCAUAAGUCUUGAAUGUUCUGCUCAUGGUUUCUUACCAUCUUCACUGUAGGGUCAACUUUAUUUUCACGAUUAUAAAUUUUGUCUUCAUUGUCUGAGGUCCUGUCUUCCAAGUGAUCUAAUCUGUUGGUGGUGCUUUCUAUUGAGUUUUUAAUUUGGUUUAUUAUUUCUUUCAUUUCAAGAAUUUCUGUUGUUGUUUUUUUUUUUUUCAGAACCUCUAUCUCCUUAUUGAAGUGUUCUUUGGCUUCCUGUAUUUGCUUAUGUAGCUCUUUAUUGAAAUGAUAUUUUGAUGCCUGUGUUUGCUCUCUUAUAUCAUCUUUUAAUUCACAGAACAUUUUAAUUAUGUACAUCCUAAACUCCUUUUCUGUCGUUUCUUCUGUUGCGCUGGCCAUGGAUUCUGACAAUGUAGUACUGUGGUUUGUUUGGGGCACUUUCCCUUGUUUUUUCAUGUUGUUCAUGUGUCUUCCCUUCUAGCACUGAGGAUCUGAGGUGUUACAGUUUUUACCCUAUAGGGUUACAGUGUCUCUGCAGGGUUUCAAUACCUCUCCUUUAAUGGGGAGAACAAUAUUAACAGAUCCCAAUACAAACAAUAUACAGCCUUAAACCAAAUAGUUGUAGAUGUUUACGGUUUUGUCACAAUAUACAGUUCAAUUAUUAUCUACAAUAUAAACAAUAAGUUUGCAAAAGGAUCUACAGUUUCUGCUGGUGGACAAAGAGAGAACAGGAGGUGGGGUGUAGGAUGAGAUGUAAAGGAGAUAGAAGGUGAGGAUAUAGUUAUUAGAUAUUAGGAAGCAUGAAAGAGUAAUCUAAAGAAGUUGGCUAGUAGCAGGAGGAAAGAGAGAAAGUGAUUUUGGGGAGACAAGUAAAUGGGAAGACAAUAGAGUACCAAAAAAACUCAAAUAUAAAUGUUAAGAAAAGUAAAAAAAAGGAAAAAUAGGAGAUCAAAAAAUAUACAACGCAACAAUAAUAUUCUCAGUAACCUAAUUCAUGAAAAGUACUUGGUUUCACAGAUGUUGCUGAUGUGAGGGUGGGAGAAGAGAGAGAAAAGAAAAAGAAAAGGGAGAAAAAAUUUUUUGAAGGAAGUUGCAAGGAUGCUUCCCUUCUCAUCCAAUAUGUGUGGUUGUCUGCUGUUUGCUGGUAACUCUACCCUCAGAUGGUGAAGGUUAUUAGGGUAGAAGGUUUGGUCUUGAGGGACAGAGCUCCUAGAGGUGUGGAUAGCAUUUGUCCUUCCCUGAUGGGAGACUGUACCCCAAGGAUCUCUUCUGGGGUCUGCUCAUGUGAUGUGGGUGUCUGGUCUUAUCUCCUUAAAUCGCCUGUAGACUUCACAAUUCCUGGUCUCUAAUUUAGUCUCUAAACUAUAUCUCACUCACCCCUCUCUUUCUACUUCCCAAUCAGGAACCUUUCUCUCCAGAGGUCUUGUGGGUUCUGCUCUGGGGGCUGCAUACCCAUAGUGGAGAGCUGUUUUGGCAGUUCAGGACUGAACUGUUUUGGCUAUGGACUGGCCAGUAGCCGCAAACACUAUGCCAGGUUAGCGGCUGUAGGGGGAGAGUAGGGAGCUGGGGACUAUAGGUAUCUUGAUAUUGCUUCUAGGCCCCAGCCGGUAGGAGUUGGAAGUUGCCCCAACUAAAGAUGGCAACAAAGAUGUCCCAAGAUGGAGGUGGCUGCUUUCAGAUAUAUGGUGUUGUGUCUGGCAGGGCCCGGGUGGCAUUGGGAGGCGUGUUCAGAGGUGCAGCUCUGUGACAUGCAGUGUUGUGGCUGGUGGCUGUCUCCAGACCCUGUGUGUUGUCCCCAGGUGCAGGCUACUACGUGUAGGGGACUAUGGCAGUGGUUGCAGUGUCCCAAGAUGGAGGCAAAGCAGGGAGCCCCAUGUUGGUAGAUGGGGGUCCACACGGGAGUAGUGGCCAGAGGUCCUGCAUGUGGGCAGCAGCCAGGGUCCUGUGUAGGAGUGGCAGCUGGGAUUCCUGCAUGGGUGGGCAGCUAGAGGUCCUGGUGGGUGCUGAUGCUGGUGGUCCUGCUUGGCACAGUGGCUGGGAAUCCUGUGUGGGAGCAGCUGUCAGGAAUCCUCUAAUAACUCGCAGAGAAACAGUAUUCCCACUACUUGAAUCCCAGGUCAUGGAGCCACACAGAAUGCAGCCUCCUUCUAGUCUGCCAUCUUCGAUCUCCUAUUCCCAGCCCUUUUAAUUUUAUUUGAGACAGGGUCUCACUAAGUUGCCAAGGUUUCCCUUGAAUUUGUAAUCCUCCUGCCUCAGAACCCAGAGUACCUGGAAUUAUAGGCAUGUUUCACCAUGCCUGGCUAAUAUGUAUCUUUCAGUGUGUGUGAGUUGUAUAAGCUGGUUGUAACACAGGUUGUGUUAUUAUAUUGUGUGUAGCUUCUUAUUCACUCUUCUAAGGACAGCAAUGUAUGUGUAUUUCACUUACACCAGACUGCUGCUGCUAUUGGCUGUCCUCAAAUGCUCAAACCACUAUUCUACAAAAUACUAGACCAUUCUGUUGGUGAGCAUAGAGGCAUAAAGUGAAUCUGAGAGCCUGGAGAUCAUGUAGUCUUGGUUCAAUUUCCAACUAACAGGUUUGAGUAAUAUAUUUAGAUAUCUUAAAAGGCAGCAUGAUAAAAGGAUAAGCUAGAAACUUGGAGGUUUAAGAGUUGGCUGGGAGUCAGGCUCCCUUAACUUCUAUCGGCUUCCCAAACCCCAGGUCACCCCAAAUAGUAACAAACCAUGUAAACAUGACGAGCUUUGCAUAGCUCAUAGCUUUAGGACAAGUACUUAGGCCUCUCACUUCUAAUCAGUCCUUUACAGAGGACUGUGUCCACCUACACUGACUGUUAGUGGAGUACCAAGUCAAUUCCCAAGAUGGUCUCAAGUUAGAGGCAUAAUUUAAUUUAUGAACUAAUAUAGUCAUCCCAAACUCAGAUCCAUUUGAGGUCAAAAGCAGUUUCCCCAGUGUUCAGAAAUUCCUCUCUGAACUUCCUGCCACUUUCACCAGCCCCCAUUCUUCCUCCUCUCCCUCUAUUCUUUUCUAUUAUCAGGCCUGAUAUAGGUUGAAUUGUGCUCCACCCCUGGAAGUCCUAGUCCUCAGGACCUUGGAAUAUGACCUUAUUGUGAAAUAAUAUCCACUUGGAUAUAAUUAACUAAGAUCAAGUCAUACUGGAGUAGGAUGGGCCAAACAUGACUGUGUCCAUAUAAGAAGACCAUGUGAAGACACAGAGACAUAAGGAGAAAAUGAUGUAAAGAAGGAGUGAUAAAUCAAUGACCAAGGAACACCAAUGAUAGCCACCUAUCACUAGAAGCUAGGAAAGGGCGAGACAACAGAUUUACCCUCAGAGACUUCAGGAAGAAACAACCCUACCAACACCUUGAUUUUAGACAUCUAGCUUCUAGAACUAUAAGAAUACAAAUUUCUGUUCUUUUAAGCCACCCAAUUUGUAGUACUAUAUGGCAGUCCGGGAGGUAAAUACAAAACUAUACAGUCCUUUCUGAGCCUAGACUCCAUAGGGAGACUGUAUUAGUCCAUUUUCUGUUACUAUAAAGAAAUACCUGAGACUGGGUGCUCAUAAAGAGAAGAGGUUUAUUUAGCUUAUGUUUUAGAAGCUGAAAGUCCAAACAAAAUGACACUAGUUCUGGCCCCCUUAUUUGCAUCACCUUAUGGUUGUGGUUGUCACAAUGGCAGGACUUCAAGCAAGAAGAAAUCACACCACUAGAAAAAGGAGCCAGAGAGCAAGGAAUGGCCCAUAAUGAUCUCUUACUAAGCUCUACUUCUUAAAGGUUUACCACCUCAACACCCCCACCCCACACUGAGGACCAAGCUUCCAAUACAUGAACUCUUGGAGGACAAACCACAUCCAAACCAUAAAUGAGUCACUGAGCAAGGUUUUGACCAGUACCCCUGGUUCCAAUGCCCCUGCCCAGCCAGUCUUGCUAAUCCCAAUUCGGGAUAUAACACACCAUCUAAUUUCCGGCUGCAGUCUGUGGCUGUCCAGAUGAUAGUGAAAUUAGAUGAACUGGUUAUACUGCAAUGUCUCCAACUACAAUUCACUGCUCUCUGAGCCUGAGCAAUUUUCCAUCACACUGAACUAAGUAUCAUAAAGAUUCCUAACUAGUGGGGUGAGAAGGGCUUGCGGUUAAAAUAAAAGCUGGGCCUCCUCAUUGCUUUACUUCAUUUAAAAUUUGUUCUGAAUUUCUAAAAUCAUUAGGGGGAGUUAGGGAAUUCACAUGUUUUGCAGAGGAGUGUAAAGGUAGGUCACAUUUCCCUUCAUGCAUAUCUCUUGUCAGAGAUUAAUACACAGGGAAAGGAGUUUGAAUUCAGGCUUGCCUGACUACUUACCUCUCUUUUUAGCUUGUUUCAACCAGCCUCUUGUUGACUCGCUCCACUAAAAUUGCUCUUUGAAUGAUCAUCAAUGGCCGUUUAGAUACCAAAUCUAAUAAUUCCCCCUCAUUCUUUGUUCUCAUCCUCUCAUUUAAAAUUGAUGACUUUCUCUUCUUUCUUGAAGUUGUCUCUUUGUUCUGCAUUUCUGCUCUUCCAAGUCUUCCCUCUAACUCCAUUUCCUUCUCCUUUUCCCUAAAGUUAUAUCCCAAUAUCAUCUUUGGUCAUUUUUUUAUAGUACUAGAGAUUGAACCCAUGGGCACUUUACUACUGAACUACAGCCUCAGUCCUUUUUUUUUUUUUUUUAAUUCUCGGCAGACACAACAUCUUUGUUUGUAUGUGGUGCUGAGGAUCGAACCCAGGCCGCACGCAUGCCAGGCGAGCACGCUACCGCUUGAGCCACAUCCCCAGCCCCAGCCUCAGUCCUUUUAAAAAUUUUAUUUUGAGACAGAGAAUCUAAGUUGCUGAGGCGGGACUUGAACUUGCAAUCCUCUUGCCUCAACCUCCUCAGUCACUGUGAUUAUAGACCUGCAUGCCUGCCCAACUUCCUUGGUCAUCUUGUUGUCGUUUCUCUGCUCUUUCUUGGUCAUUUCAUUCAAACUCCUAUUUUUCUAUCUACUGGCAUAAUUUUGCAGGGCAUCUGCAAAUCAUCUUGGCCUUGAGCUUUUCUUUCAAGGUCCCCGUUUCUAGCUGCCUCUGGGAUGUCACUAUUGGUUGCCUCCCUACUUUAAACUCAACAUGCCUGCAAAUGGACUCAAGUUUCUCCCCCUAGAGAUUCUACAUAUUUUGUACAUCUUGAGGAAUGUAACACAUGGCCACCAAUGCAGUUCUGACAGUAUGGUGGUGCUCAGGCCACUUCCCCGCUCAGAAAGCUCCAGUGGCUUCCUACAGCCCAAAGUAAAAAGUCCAACCCUAUUGUCCAAUAAUGCCUUGCUCAUAAUCCCAACCCUUCUUUACAACCAAAAUGUUUUCUCUUUUCCUCCCAUGUAGCCUUCAUAGCAGUUAGGCUCAACUUCUUAUUGAGCUCCAAACGCUCCACUCCUUUUGGCUUCCUUCCUUGCCACCUAAGUUUAGAGUCCAUCUUCCUAGAGUAGGCUCCUUUACUCUAUUCCUGAAUUUCCUAAUCAUUCUCAUUCUUCAAAGCUCAGUUCCAAUGUCACUUUCAUAAAGCCAUGAAUGACUGCUCUGUCCUGCCCACCUAACUAGAAGUUACUUCUCUAGUCUCUGAGUUCUCAUAGCUCUUUUUCAAACCUCCUUUUUAUGAACCUAACAUUCAUCUAUGUAUGAAGUUAUUUGUAUGAGUGAUAAUAAAUACCAUUUUUCCCUUUCUCUUUCUGAUGGUGGGGAUCAAAUGCAGAGACUUGUGUGUGGCAGGCAAGAGCUCUACCACUGAGCUACACCCCCAGCUCUCCUUUGUUCAAAUCUUAAUGCAAUCUUGUUUAAUUCUCCUGUUGAUUUUAUGAGUUGUACUAUUAUCCUCAAUUUGCAAGUUAGGAAACUGAGGCACGGAGAGUUCAUCCUUAUCCAAGGGUAAGUAAGUGGGUUCAAAUGAUACAGAUGCAGUCAGCCUCCAGAGUUCAGACUUCUAACUACUACUACAUGAGACACUAUUUUGGUUUAUUAGACAGGAACCUCCUGGAUGGUAAUAACCCUGAUUCCUAAUGCCAUCCAUUAUACUUUAAAGAAGUUUUUGUUUGUAGGUUGUGUGGCACUGGGAACUGAACCCAGGGGCUUUUUAUCAUGGAAUUACAUCCCCAGCAUCCCUUCUUUUUAUUGUGAGAGUCUUGCUUUGUUGCCAAGGCAGGCCUUCAACUUGUGAUCCUGCUGCCUCAGUCUCCCCAGUUGCUGGGAUUAUAGGUAUGUGCCACCACACCCAGGUCACUUUAAAGUUCUGAGAAAAGGAAGAGAGUUCAUUAAAAAUUCUUUUUUUUCUCCUUACUGAGUAAAUUAGUGUCUUUUAUAUGGUAUUUGCUGCAAAUACUAUAGCUCCAUUGCCCCACCACUCUCCAUCUCUUUUUGCCCUCAUGCUCUCAGCCUGUGGAAAAGGGUAUGUUCCAAGGAAGGGCAAAGGGGCCUCCCUCUUCCUAGUCUAAGAAAUCUCAGGAGUUCUCUAGGGCAGUGUAGACUUCCUGAGUAACACUCAAGUGGCAUCCCUCUUCAGCAAGCAAGUACUCUACAUUUGUAACCUCAGCUUGUUCCAGGGAAUGAACUUCUUGAAAUAAACACAGAGGAACAGGACUUUUUAUUAUCUCCAGAUGGGAUUGUACAGGCUUGGAAGCUGUUGAAAUAUUUCUGCUCUGCCUGGAUCAAACUUCUGUUAUCUUCCCAAAGGGAACAAAGUUUCUUUCAUUGAGAAAUAGUAAAUUUUGUGUUAACUAAUUUAAACCAACUUAGAUUAAAUUCCACCAAUAGACCCUCCAAAAUCUAGAUUUUUAUGAUGUGCUUUUUAUUUAAUUUUGUAUCCUCCCCACCUGAUUCACCUUUCCCUCCCCCUAGUAUUGGGAAUUGAACUCAGGGGUAUUCUACCGUUAAGCUAUAUCCCCAACCAUUUUCAUUUUAUUUUGAGACAGAGUCUUUCUAAAUUGUUUAGUCUAGCCUUGAACUUGUGAUCCUCUUCCUCAGGCUCUUGAGUUGCUGGAAUUAUAGGUGUGUGCCAUCACAUUUCUCUCCCUUUUAAAAUCAGAUUUUAGGCUGCAUUGGCAUGUGUGAGGACAUAUACACACAAUUGUGAAAUUGUUUUUGAAUCAUAAAUCGAGGUUUAGUUGUUGUUUUUUAAAAUAAGGAUUAACCUGAAAGUGGAAAUACAAGGCCUUUAAGACAUUUUAUUUUAAUUCCGUUAGUGGCAGUCAGUUGAGCAACUUCCGCACAAAAGGAGUCCAAUAAACAUCUAAUGAAUGAACACCAUAAAUACUUAUGAUUUGGGGCUAUAACAAUAUAAAAUAUAAUUGAAAAAUGAUGGUGCCACCUAUUGGUGAUGAUAUAAAAUGUAACCUUAUCACAGACAUGUCAUUUCAUGUUUCACAAUCAUUUGUUACUUAUUCCCACAGAGAUUCUAAGAGUAACUGAGGAGCUACAAGGAAGGCUUGAAUCAUGUGCAUAUGAGGGAGGCACCAAUGUUUCAACUGGGUUGCUUUCUAUUGGGUGCCUAUUAAGCACUCAGCGCGUUGGAGGAUGCCAGAGAAUUGAAGACUGCCUUCAAUCUCCUGCCUUCAAGGAUCAUCUUAUCUACUUGGGAAGAGACCUACCUACUAAGAACUGUCAACCGAUACAACCAAAUAAUUAACAGCCUGACAUUAAAAUAUAUGAUGUUCAUUCCAUGUGUAUGGAUAUAUUUUAUGUACUGUAUUAUAUGAAAACCAUACUUUCUGAACCCACAGGACAGGAAUAAGAUUGUUUUGUGCACAAUUUACCUCAGGCCUACUAUACCACAGCACCUGGCACUUAGUAGGAAAUUGAUAAAUACUAUUGAAUAACUGAAUAAGUCAGGUAUCAUAGUAAAAUAUAUGUGGCUUAUAGAAUACUUUAAAUCAAGACUGGCAAAACAGAUCAAAAAAUAUGUAUAAUCAUAGGAAAUCCUAUAGAGCAAGUGAAUCUUGAGUUAGAUUCUGGAAAAUUCCUUAAGGGACUUAUAACCUAAUAGAUUGAAACCAUCAGUACAGAGAGACCUCUUGUACCCUUGGAUUUGGUUUGAAUUUGAGAUUUUUGUGGUUUGCUGUGCUAACCCACGCUUUUCCCUCACACAUGGACUGGAUUUUUGCUCGAAGUCCAAAGCAAAAGAAGAGAAGAAGACAGAUGGUGGAUAGUUGCAAGAAUGUAUACAUUAAUUCUACUUGCGGAAGUUUUAUGGGUGGGAAUAAUUCCUGAAGUAGGCAAGCAGCUUGUUUUCCUUCUUCCUACCCUCCAACCCAACUGUGUGCUCCAAAGUAUUCCUAAAAUAUUUGGCAAUAAGUACUACAAAUCUUAAAAAUCAUUGUGUUUUGAUUUAGUAAUUUUCCUUCUAAAAGUAUGUUAAGGAAAUAACCAGAAAUGUGAACAGAAACUUUUUGAAACAAAGAAAAUAUCACUAUUCAGC